This 508-nucleotide ribosomal RNA is filed under the name uncultured bacterium. Its description in RNAcentral is "bacterial SSU rRNA". It matches the Rfam family "Bacterial small subunit ribosomal RNA", at positions 28 to 530 of the family's 1533-position model. The record is from RNAcentral.
GAUGAACGCUAGCGGGAGGCUUAAUACAUGCAAGUCGUACGGUAACAGGCGUAGCAAUACGUGCUGACGAGUGGCGCACGGGUGAGGAACACGUACGCAAUCUGCCUCUGACUGGGGGAUAGCUCCGGGAAACUGGGAUUAAUACCCCGUAACAUUACGGAAGGGCAUCCUUCUGUAAUUAAACCUCCGGGGGUCAGAGAUGAGCGUGCGUCUGAUUAGGUAGUUGGUAGGGUAACGGCCUACCAAGCCAACGAUCAGUAGCUGGCGUGAGAGCGGCGACCAGCCACACGGGAACUGAGACACGGUCCCGACUCCUACGGGAGGCAGCAGUAGGGAAUAUUGGACAAUGGCUGAAAAGCUGAUCCAGCCAUCCCGCGUGAAGGCAGAAGGUCCUAUGGAUUGUAAACUUCUUUUCUCUGGGAAGAAAAUCCCGCAUUCUUGCGGGACUGACGGUACCAGAGGAAUAAGCACCGGCUAACUCCGUGCCAGCAGCCGCGGUAAUACGGGA